CGACGAGGAAAUCACGGUUUAUUGACAAAACAAUCCAACACGUAGCUGUCUACUAUUACUGAGAAAUCAAUCAGAAGAUGUUCCAAACCCUUCUGAAACUCAAACAAACGACUGUUGACGAGGGAAACGUGAGAGUUGUGUUCUUCUCUGAGUGAACACAUUAUCAUUAAUCAACACUGAGGGUCUGCCCGGCCAUAUGUUGUGACGUGUUCAGCCACACCCCCUCCUGAAUCUAUAGGCGCACGGGCUUCAUAUGUGGAGGAACAUCGUGUGCCUUCAGUGUUCUGCCACCCUCAACUCACGGAGGUCCAUAUCAUCAGCUGUUUUUGGAGUUUGCCUUGGAGCAACAACGACGGAGUCGUCUUUCCUUUUCCUGAACGAGCGCGCGAUUGCAGCAAGGCUCACAGCUCGGCAGGGAAGUUCGUUUCAGUCGUGUGGAGCACUAAAACAGCAGUGAUGAUCAUCAGACUCGGCAGACUGACGCCUGGAUACUUUCGCCUUCUGCAGAGGCAGGUAGCAGGAGAGGUUCAGGCCCCGGCUCACGACCGCUCCGUCAACCAGAUCGCCAUGAUGCUGGCCAUCAUGGGCCUUAGCAUGUCCUACUACAGUGCCAAACAGAUGACCGAGAAGGUCCACCAUGAGCCCACCCCGUGAGGAUGCGCUCCCGUCCCUCGGAGUGACGGCAUCCGGAGAAGACGAUGCCAAACGGAAGAUGCAGUUGAAGAUGUUCAGACUACCCCUUUCUAUAACUGUUGGAUUUCCAGGGAUCACACACCAUGGUGCUUCUGCUUAGGGGUUCUCUUGCUUUAGUUUCGCUCUCAAUGGGGUCUGGAAGGGGUUGAAUGUUGUGGCCCGAGUUUCGAUAGCUGCCGUGGUACAUGCAUAUCAGAGAGUCAGUCAAUUCUGCUGUAGGUUUACUGGGGGGGAAAAAACUCGAGCUCCAUCAUUGAUGCCUAGAUAGGGAGCUUAACUCUGAGCCAUAAUGUCUUUUAAAGGGAAGGACCUCUGCAUUUGAGAUGUACCAAGCAAGUAUUGAAAGCAGGGCCAUUGCACAAGGGUGAAAUGCUGGAUUUAGUUCAGAUGUCCCUCAAAAAAAGAUCCUAUUGAAGAACGUCACGAGACUUGAGGACUUAUAACGGAGGCAUUGCUCUACUAAUCGUUUUAGACACUUUAUUGCAGGACUGUUUGAGGACCUUAUGUUAAAGUUACUUAUCCUUCUUUCAUCACAACAAACAAUAACUUCAUAUCAACUUGUUUGUCCUGGCAAAUGGCUUCAAUCUUAGAUUGUCAAAGCCGACUUUUCUAUGUGCAAUAGCAUGAGCUUAAAGCAGUUUUUUUUUUAGUGAAGCCAAUCCAUAUGUUGUUUCUACUUUUUAUGAUAAUGUGAUUCAUGAUGAUGAUGAUGAAUGUAUUGUAUGUUAUAUUUUUAAGACACAAUGAUGAAAUAAAGCUGUGAAUAAUUUGAACACGA
Molecule: non-coding RNA, 1471 nt
Organism: Pimephales promelas (fathead minnow)
Lineage: Eukaryota; Metazoa; Chordata; Actinopteri; Cypriniformes; Leuciscidae
Source: RefSeq, a predicted model, not a curated record